Molecule: long non-coding RNA, 892 nt
Filed under: Monodelphis domestica (gray short-tailed opossum)
Lineage: Eukaryota; Metazoa; Chordata; Mammalia; Didelphimorphia; Didelphidae
Description: lncRNA (ENSMODG00000043234.1)
Source: RNAcentral
AUUUUAUUCCUACAUAUUUUUAUAGCUUCCCCAAAGCUGAGAAAAUACCAAAUGAGCCUUCAGACAGAUUUAAUUGAAGAAAAGUUUGUAAAUGAGGUGCUGUUGUUUUCUGAGUCAGUUGCCUUAAAGCACACUCUCUUGUUUGUCCUCUCCAUAGCUGGGUUAAAACAGGAAUCUCCUUUUCCUGGUGUGUUGCCAAAGGCAUUGCUUGGGGGGACUCAUACCAGGGAGGAAGAGCUGGAGGAUAUCCAAUGAAGGAGAUCAUCUUCAAAAAAGCAUGGAGUGGCCUACCUCUAUCUCUACAGAGAAGCAGAUGAGAAGAAAUCUUACCUUCUUUGGAUCAGUAGUGAACUGCUGGAGCUGAAAGCUCAUGAUCAGCUAAAGUUCUAUAAUGGAGCCUUGGAGUUCUUUCAUCUAUCUACCAGGUUGUCUCUCAUGCCUGAAAUGCUUUCCUCCUCAUCUUAGCCUCCUGGCUUCAAUUUGUCCUCCAUCCAGCAACAAUAGUGAUGCUCCUAACACAGAGAUCUAUCCAUAUCAUUCUCCUCUCAAGAAGAUUCAACACUUCCCAGGUUCCUCUAGGAUACAGGGCAAAAUUCCCCUGCUUCAUACUUGAAGCCCAUCAAAAUCUGGUUUAAGCCUAUCUUUCCUGGAGGAUUAUGUUACUCUCCCUCUUCUGUUUCUUGCCUCUAUUUUUUUCUUGUUCAUUUUCGGAAUGUUUUUCCUCUUUAAAACUCAGGUCAAGUGGGAAUAGUCAUUGUUGGAGGGACUGUGAGAAGAUAGGUACAGUAUGGUACAUUUAAAUUAAUGCAGCUAUGAAUUAGUACAACUAUUAUGGAAAAGAAUUUUGAAUUUUGAAAAUAAAGAAACUAAAACAUUAAUACCCUUUGGCUCA